AGCGAACGCUGGCGGCAGGCUUAACACAUGCAAGUCGAGCGGGCAUAGCAAUAUGUCAGCGGCAGACGGGUGAGUAACACGUGGGAACGUACCUUUUGGUUCGGAACAACUGAGGGAAACUUCAGCUAAUACCGAAUAAGCCCUUACGGGGAGAGAUUUAUUGCCAAAAGAUCGGCCCGCGUCUGAUUAGCUAGUUGGUAGGGUAAUGGCCUACCAAGGCGACGAUCAGUAGCUGGUCUGAGAGGAUGAUCAGCCACACUGGGACUGAGACACGGCCCAGACUCCUACGGGAGGCAGCAGUGGGGAAUAUUGGACAAUGGGCGCAAGCCUGAUCCAGCCAUGCCGCGUGAGUGAUGAAGGCCCUAGGGUUGUAAAGCUCUUUUAACGGGGAAGAUAAUGACGGUACCCGUAGAAUAAGCCCCGGCUAACUUCGUGCCAGCCGCCGCAGUAA
Molecule: ribosomal RNA, 451 nt
Filed under: uncultured bacterium
Lineage: Bacteria
Description: partial 16S ribosomal RNA
Rfam family: Bacterial small subunit ribosomal RNA
Source: RNAcentral